AUGCGCGCAAUGCCCGAGGGGAUACUGUCACAGUUAAUUGGCUGACCCUGGGGAUGGCAGUCAGACGUGGGAGGUAAAAAGAGCCCGCUCAGACAGUCCGGCCUCGGACACACAGCUUCCCGUCACUCAGACCACUGCAGGUAACACGCUUCCUCACAGCGGGAUCGCCGAGCUCCGAUUCACAGAUGGAGGCAGAGAUUCAGCAGAUCCUGGUCCAGGUGUCGGAGCUGCAGCACCAAAGGAAAGUUCACUUCCUGCUUCAAAAAAUCCGAUCUGCUCCCCAAAUCUGAAGGCCUACACACACCGCCAAAGAAACACCACAAAAUCCUGAAUUUUCUGGUUCUGAACUGGCCGUGCAACUCGUAC
Molecule: long non-coding RNA, 366 nt
Organism: Astatotilapia calliptera (eastern happy)
Lineage: Eukaryota; Metazoa; Chordata; Actinopteri; Cichliformes; Cichlidae
Source: Ensembl